Molecule: ribosomal RNA, 467 nt
Filed under: uncultured bacterium
Lineage: Bacteria
Description: partial 16S ribosomal RNA
Rfam family: Bacterial small subunit ribosomal RNA
Source: RNAcentral
ACGCACGCUGGCGGCGUGCUUAACACAUGCAAGUCGCACGGAAAGGCCCUGCUUUUGUGGGGUGCUCGAGUGGCGAACGGGUGAGUAACACGUGAGUAACCUGCCCUUGACUUUGGGAUAACUUCAGGAAACUGGGGCUAAUACCGGAUAGGCGCUCCUGCUGCAUGGUGGGGGUUGGAAAGUUUCGGCGGUUGGGGAUGGACUCGCGGCUUAUCAGCUUGUUGGUGGGGUAGUGGCUUACCAAGGCUUUGACGGGUAGCCGGCCUGAGAGGGUGACCGGCCACAUUGGGACUGAGAUACGGCCCAGACUCCUACGGGAGGCAGCAGUGGGGAAUAUUGCACAAUGGGCGGAAGCCUGAUGCAGCAACGCCGCGUGCGGGAUGACGGCCUUCGGGUUGUGAACCGCUUUCGCCUGUGACGAAGCGUGAGUGACGGUAAUGGGUAAAGAAGCACCGGCUAACUACGUG